AACAGGAUUAGAUACCCUGGUAGUCCACGCCGUAAACGUUGGGCGCUAGAUGUAGGGACCUUUCCACGGUUUCUGUGUCGUAGCUAACGCAUUAAGCGCCCCGCCUGGGGAGUACGGCCGCAAGGCUAAGACUCAAAGGAAUUGACGGGGGCCCGCACAAGCGGCGGAGCAUGCGGAUUAAUUCGAUGCAACGCGAAGAACCUUACCAAGGCUUGACAUACACCGGAAACGGCCAGAGAUGGUCGCCCCCUUGUGGUCGGUGUACAGGUGGUGCAUGGUUGUCGUCAGCUCGUGUCGUGAGAUGUUGGGUUAAGUCCCGCAACGAGCGCAACCCUCGUUCUAUGUUGCCAGCGCGUUAUGGCGGGGACUCAUAGGAGACUGCCGGGGUCAACUCGGAGGAAGGUGGGGAUGACGUCAAAUCAUCAUGCCCCUUAUGUCUUGAGCCUCACGCAUGCUACAAUGGCCGGUACGAAGGGCUGCGAUACCGUAAGGUGGAGCGAAUCCCAAAAAGCCGGUCUCAGUUCGGAUUGAGGUCUGCAACUCGACCUCAUGAAGUCGGAGUCGCUAGUAAUCGCAGAUCAGCAACGCUGCGGUGAAUACGUUCCCGGGCCUUGUACACACCGCCCGUCAAGUCAUGAAAGUCGGUAACACCCGAAGCCGGUGGCCUAACCCUUGUGGAAGGAGCCGUCGAAGGUGGGAUCGGUGAUUAGGACUAAGUCGUAACAAGGUAACC
This 733-nucleotide ribosomal RNA is filed under the name uncultured bacterium. Its description in RNAcentral is "bacterial SSU rRNA". It matches the Rfam family "Bacterial small subunit ribosomal RNA", at positions 771 to 1501 of the family's 1533-position model. The record is from RNAcentral.